RNAcentral lists this ribosomal RNA (497 nucleotides) under uncultured bacterium. RNAcentral describes it as "partial 16S ribosomal RNA". It matches the Rfam family "Bacterial small subunit ribosomal RNA", at positions 28 to 507 of the family's 1533-position model. The record is from RNAcentral.
GAUGAACGCUGGCGGCGUGCCUAAUACAUGCAAGUCGAGCGAACGGACGAGAAGCUUGCUUCUCUGAUGUUAGCGGCGGACGGGUGAGUAACACGUGGAUAACCUACCUAUAAGACUGGGCUAACUUCGGGAAACCGGCGCUAAUACCGGAUAAUAUUUUGAACCGCAUGGUUCAACAGUGAAAGACGGUCUUGCUGUCACUUAUAGAUGGAUCCGCGCUGCAUUAGCUAGUUGGUAAGGUAACGGCUUACCAAGGCAACGAUGCAUAGCCGACCUGAGAGGGUGAUCGGCCACACUGGAACUGAGACACGGUCCAGACUCCUACGGGAGGCAGCAGUAGGGAAUCUUCCGCAAUGGGCGAAAGCCUGACGGAGCAACGCCGCGUGAGUGAUGAAGGUCCUCGGAUCGUAAACCUCUGUUAUUAGGGAAGAACAUAUGUGUAAGUAACUGUGCACAUCUUGACGGUACCUAAUCAGAAAGCCACGGCUAACUACGUG